UGUACGUACAAGCAGUGGGAGCACCCUUUGGGGUGUGACUGCGUACCUUUUGUAUAAUGGGUCAGCGACUUAUAUUCUGUAGCAAGGUUAACCGAAUAGGGGAGCCGGAGGGAAACCGAGUCUUAAUUGGGCGUUAAGUUGCAGGGUAUAGACCCGAAACCCGGUGAUCUAGCCAUGGGCAGGUUGAAGGUUGGGUAACACUAACUGGAGGACCGAACCGACUAAUGUUGAAAAAUUAGCGGAUGACCUGUGGCUGGGGGUGAAAGGCCAAUCAAACCGGGAGAUAGCUGGUUCUCCCCGAAAGCUAUUUAGGUAGCGCCUCGUGAAUUCAUCUCCGGGGGUAGAGCACUGUUUCGGCUAGGGGGCCAUCCCGGCUUACCAACCCGAUGCAAACUGCGAAUACCGGAGAAUGUUAUCACGGGAGACACACGGCGGGUGCUAACGUCCGUCGUGAAGAGGGAAACAACCCAGACCGCCAGCUAAGGUCCCAAAGUCAUGGUUAAGUGGGAAACGAUGUGGGAAGGCCCAGACAGCCAGGAUGUUGGCUUAGAAGCAGCCAUCAUUUAAAGAAAGCGUAAUAGCUCACUGGUCGAGUCGGCCUGCGCG
RNAcentral lists this ribosomal RNA (606 nucleotides) under Salmonella enterica. Its description in RNAcentral is "partial 23S ribosomal RNA". It matches the Rfam family "Bacterial large subunit ribosomal RNA", at positions 559 to 1165 of the family's 2925-position model. The record is from RNAcentral. Lineage: Bacteria; Pseudomonadati; Pseudomonadota; Gammaproteobacteria; Enterobacterales; Enterobacteriaceae.